AUGAAGAACAAAAACGGUCGUCCCAGGAAAUCAGCUCUCAACGAAGCCGCUGCUGGCAACAAGAAUGGUCGUCGCAGGCGGAAUCUAAAUGCAACGCAAAAGGCAACUCGCAACGAAGCCGCUGCUAGCAACGCAAAUGAUGACAGGCUUAGCAAGCUGCCCAAUGACCUUCUUCUCAACAUUCUGGAGAGGGUGGACACACUCGACGCUAUAAGGGCCUGCAUCCUCUCCAGGCAAAUGCUGAAGCUCCCCACCAUGCUCUCGCGCUUUUACCUAAGUGUUAGUUCCAUUCCAGGUCUCCAGGCUAAACCACCUCGCGCUGUCACCCUCAAGGAAGUGCUCGGAAUCAACAGUGCUUUGUCUCAUGUAACGGAUAACAUCUUGAGCACAAGGAGCCCGGAGGUUACCAUCAGCAAACUCAAAAUCAGAUUUGUCUUGUUGCCUGAUGACUCCCUUGCCAUUGGAAGAUCUGUCGCCCGCGCCAUGGCAACCCAGAAGCUUGGUGCAGCUGAGUUUGAGAUCGUAACGAAGAAGCGUUAUAACCUCUGCUCUUCUAUUGAUUUCCUCAACUUUGCCAAGCAGUUCAAUGAUUUAGUUGGUGCUUGUCCGCAUGCAUUUGCUGGCCUUACGAGCCUGUGGCUGGAAAAUAUGAGGUUUGGUGAACUGGACAUUCCCAACAUCCUCAGCACUUGCAAGCUCUUGGAGUAUUUGCGUUUAACCCAUUGCGACUCAGGGAUCCAUUCUGUGCUGCAAGUAGAACACACUCAACUUGUUGAGCUCGAGAUCGACCAGGGGAAAUUUCAGAGAGUUGAGCUGAUAUGUCUACCAAAACUCCAACGGUUGACCUAUAAUAAUUGGUUCUCUUGUGAGGAUCCGAUGUAUUUUGGUUUUGUACCACAGCUUUCAAAGCUGAGCCUUAUUAAAACUGCCACCCGUUCGGACAAGUCUCUCAAGUUAAGUCAACUCCUUGCUAAUGUUCCUUCCGUAGGCGAUCUGCGUCUGGAUUUUGGAAGUGAAAAGAUCUGGGUUCUACCAGAAUGCCCAAAACUGCUCAGGCCUGUGCUCAGCAAACUACAGCAUGUGAAUCUGGACCAUCUUCCUGAAGGGUGUGAUUUAGCUUGGACAAUGUUUAUUCUUGAAGCUGCACCCUCCUUAAAAGAGCUAUGCAUCACAGUAUGGGAUCAUUGGUGCAUAAUGGUGAAAGACAAAGAGUUUCGGGAGAAAUAUGGUUACUGCGAGAAGGCAGACGUGAAGUGGAAGCCAUAUGCCCCUGAUUUCAAGCACAAGAAUCUGGCUAAGCUCACCAUUUAUGGCUUCCAACCUGACGACAAUUUUAUGCGAUACGUCAGGUGUGUCGUGGAACAUGCCAUUAAUAUAACAGAGAUAUCCCUGUCCGACAGGAAGGGGUGUAGGCGGUGUGGUGACUUGGAUCCAUCAAGAUAUCCACGGACUGCCGGGGAGAGGAAACAGACAGCUGACGAGUUGGGUUUGGCUUCGGGUGUUGUGGUUCAUUUCCGGUCGUGA
Molecule: ribosomal RNA, 1524 nt
Filed under: Triticum aestivum (bread wheat)
Lineage: Eukaryota; Viridiplantae; Streptophyta; Magnoliopsida; Poales; Poaceae
Description: partial small subunit ribosomal RNA
Source: RNAcentral